This 144-nucleotide ribosomal RNA is filed under the name Sphenodon punctatus (tuatara). Its description in RNAcentral is "5.8S ribosomal RNA (ENSSPUG00000013853.1)". It matches the Rfam family "5.8S ribosomal RNA". From Rfam's summary of the family: 5.8S ribosomal RNA (5.8S rRNA) is a component of the large subunit of the eukaryotic ribosome. It is transcribed by RNA polymerase I as part of the 45S precursor that also contains 18S and 28S rRNA. Functionally, it is thought that 5.8S rRNA may be involved in ribosome translocation. Lineage: Eukaryota; Metazoa; Chordata; Lepidosauria; Sphenodontia; Sphenodontidae. The record is from Rfam by way of RNAcentral.
AACUCUUAGCAGUGGAUCACUCAGCUCAUGUGUUGAUGAUGAAUGCAGCUAGCUGUGAGAAUUAAUGUGAAUUGCAGGACAAAUUGAUCACUGACACUUCGAGAGUCUGAGAUUCCUCCUGGGGCUACGACUGUCUGAGUGUUG